RNAcentral lists this ribosomal RNA (497 nucleotides) under uncultured bacterium. RNAcentral describes it as "partial 16S ribosomal RNA". It matches the Rfam family "Bacterial small subunit ribosomal RNA", at positions 28 to 507 of the family's 1533-position model. The record is from RNAcentral.
GAUGAACGCUGGCGGCGUGCCUAAUACAUGCAAGUCGAGCGAACAGACGAGGAGCUUGCUCCUCUGACGUUAGCGGCGGACGGGUGAGUAACACGUGGAUAACCUACCUAUAAGACUGGGAUAACUUCGGGAAACCGGAGCUAAUACCGGAUAAUAUAUUGAACCGCAUGGUUCAAUAGUGAAAGACGGUUUUGCUGUCACUUAUAGAUGGAUCCGCGCCGCAUUAGCUAGUUGGUAAGGUAACGGCUUACCAAGGCAACGAUGCGUAGCCGACCUGAGAGGGUGAUCGGCCACACUGGAACGUGGACACGGUCCAGACUCCUACGGGAGGCAGCAGUAGGGAAUCUUCCGCAAUGGGCGAAAGCCUGACGGAGCAACGCCGCGUGAGUGAUGAAGGUCUUCGGAUCGUAAAACUCUGUUAUUAGGGAAGAACAAAUGUGUAAGUAACUAUGCACGUCGUGACGGUACCUAAUCAGAAAGCCACGGCUAACUACGUG